Molecule: long non-coding RNA, 7655 nt
Filed under: Brassica rapa (field mustard)
Lineage: Eukaryota; Viridiplantae; Streptophyta; Magnoliopsida; Brassicales; Brassicaceae
Description: long non-coding RNA (BRAP_LNC006838)
Source: RNAcentral
AGCACUAAAGAUGCUAAAGGGGAUCAACCUAUCAACUACACACUUGCCUUGAACCGUAUGAAGUAACCAAAGCUGAUUUCCAACACUAAACCUGACAUAACCGCUUGUCUUGGGGCUUGGUAUACAUGGGAUCAGAUUCUUUAGACAGGUCUGGAAGGUAACGCCUGGUGUAGAUUAUUUACCAUAUUUUUUCUCUCUAAAUUUCGACCCUAGAUUAGUUAGUAAGUUAAAAAAAAUAAAAAAAAAAUAAAAAAUAAGAUCUAUUGUUUAAUUAUGAUGAGUCUGAACAGGACUUGGUGGCUAAAACCAUUAAGGCUUGAUUCAUAAAGACUCAAAUAAAAGAGUUCGAAACGGGACUUGGAGGUGGCAAUCUUCAAGGCUCGCUUUCGCAAAGAACUCUUGGAUAUAUGUCAAAAAGAAGUGAACAGAACUUGGUGGCAACCACCAUUAAGUUUUGAUUCAUGGAAGCCUGUCCAAUCUUGGUAACUGAUCCUGCAAUGGAAGCAGACUUUGACUCAAGAGAGAAAAUUAGAGAGAGAGAAACUAGGAACUAACUUUUACCUGCAGCUCCAGAUACCUGUCUGAAAUCCUUGCAUCCUGUGAUCGAUACUCCCAAGGUAAAGCAUUCACUUUAUAUUUAUGCUAAGAAAUGAAAUCAGUAGAGGGGAUGUCAGACGUGAAUUAAUGAGUUGUUUUAUGUGCUUUUGUGAUUAGGACUUUGUAAAUGUGGUUGCAAAAUUGUUGAAGAAAGAUUUCUUGCUUUAAAAUCUUAAGUCCCUAAUAUUUUCAAACCUUUUUCAGAGAGACUGCCUGUAUGUUUUGCUUGAGGACAAGCAAAAUGGUAAGUCUGGGGGAGUUGAUAUACCUUGGAUUUGACCCAUUUUUAUCCAUGGUAUAUAGGUGUUUUACUAUAUAUAUAUAUAUCUAUGUUUUCUACUCUUCUAUGUAUGUUUUCAGGUUCAGGUGCAUUUCGAAGUAAACCUAUGACUUUGGAGCAUUUUGGAGCUUAAAGGACAUUUCACUCGAGCUGACCACGUAGAGGUCGACGAGAGGAAGAACAAUCGAUCGAUGCGCCUCAGUGCUGACGAUCGAUACCAGGAGAUGCCUCGACAGAUGAAGAUUAAUAUCGAUCGAUGUACACAAGUACCAUCGAUCGAUGUCGACACACCAGACACGCGACAUUUUGGACUCAGCAGACUUAAAACCCAAGGCCAAGCCAAAUUACCAAAAUGCUCUGACGAGUUUUUAACCUAGUAGAAUAUAUACUGCCUAAGUGUUUUGACGGCAGAGAGCUUUUCUAGACCUAGUUUUGUUACAAGUUUCAUUUGGGAGAGAAGAUCACUUGUGAUUGGAACUCCUUGUUUUCAUUUCUUUUCAUAUAUACUAUGAGUUUCUAUUCCUUUAUUGUUAUGAAUUGUUUUGCUAUGUCUGAGUAGUUCAAUUAUUAGAUCCAGGGUUCAUAUAGGUUUGUGGGAUUAGCCCCAAACUAUAGAUCUGCCUUGUUGUGAUAUUCAUGAUUGAUUUGUAUUCAUUGCUUGUUUUAGCCUUGCUAACUAGAAGUUGAUAAUAGGAUUGCAUACUCAAGCACCCUUGUUAUCCCAUCCUGACAUCUAUCUAUUAUAUUAGGACUGAUAGAGAGGGCUAACCGCCAAUUUAGUAUCUUAAUAGGGCAUAUCAUACUCGCGCAUAGGCCUGGCUAGAACUCGUCGAUCGAUGUCCUCAACUGACUAUCGAUCGACGUUGGCAAAGGUGUAUCGGUCGACGUCUUAAUAGACCAUCGAUCGACACUCUCUCGUUGUCGACAUACUAACCGUUGAGACACGAAAUCUAGUCUGUUAACCAGUGAAACAUGCGACAACUGAUCACUAAGUUAGGCGAUUGAGCUCUAAUAUAUCAUGCAUGCAACAGUUAGGCAUCUAUAGGUAUUAUAAUCUCCAACACCGAAUAGUGACCCUGCAUCUAAUAUCAUUUCCAACCAAGUUACAUUUAUUAUUUACUCGCUUGUUACUAUUGCUAUUUCAUUUAAACAUUUGCAACCUUUAGAAUUAAUAAACACUAGAUUUAAUUGUUCCCUAGCUCCUUGUGGAUUUGAUCCCUAGGGUAAUUUGAGUGGUAUCAAUAUUGAUCUUGACAAAGUGUCGAUCGACGCUAUCAACGAGUUGUCGAUCGAUACACAUUUCAGACCGUCGGUCGAUACAACUACCGAGUUGUCAAUCGACGACCCUUCUAGCAAGCUUUAGCGAACAGGUAAAUAGGUUUGAUAAGUUCACUACGAUUCCUAAAUCAGCUUCCGCUUGUUUCUUACAAUCCUAGCACAAUGUAAAUUAAUUCAGACAGAGAACCGAGAUUUUGCUUGCGUCCUAAUAUCUUUAGGUAAGGUCCUAGUUAGUUAUUCUAGAACACAUGCAUUAAGAACAAUUCCACUGAUUCAUAUUCUAACAACUUAGCAGUUCUAUAUUUUUGGCUAAUCCCUCGUAACUAUCUGAACCCUAAACCUAAUAUGUGGAUCUAUUCAGACAUGAAGUUGUCACAGAAAAUCAUAGAAAGAAUAGAUGAAUAGAAUAGAUAAAAGCAAUAAAGAAACCAAAGGAGUUCCACGAGGAACUCCUUGACUCCGAAGGAGUUCCUCCUUUCUCUCCUAACCUAGAACUAUGAAUAAAAGAAAGCGUAGCCGUCAACAAUGGCUUGGAAAACACAUAAAUAGGGUUCUUGGUCGUCCAAGGGUAUUCUAGUAAUUUGUGGUUGCUUCUGGGCUUCAGUAGGUCAUAAAAUAUGCUUGGCCCAUAUUCUGGCAUCACCGUCGAUCGAUGGUAAGGGUGCACCGUCGAUCGACAGUCCUUUAUCUCCUCAACAGCUUUCUCUCGCGAGGCAGAUUGACCACUCUUCAGUAAAAUGGGCAUAACGUCUGCUAUAGGAUGCUGAUUGACCUCAAACCGGUGCAAUUGGAAAGAUAACUCAAAGAUAUAUUUUUUAUCUAAUGAUGGAAUCAAUCUAACGGUGGGAAGGUCUCCAUCCAUAGCUAAACAUCUGACGCGUCUGUGCAGCUCUGCACUAAAAAAUGCUCCAAAAGACACAAAAUUACCACAUUCUUCCAAAUCAUCCAUGAACCUGCAAAUACUCUAAAUAGACUCUAUAUCGUAGUAAAUAUAUAUAUUAAAACACUUAUAAACCAUUGCCAAAAGUGGGUAAAAUCUAUGGUAUAUCAUGUUUCACUUCAAACACACCAAAAAGAAGAAAAAAAAACUAAAAACGUGAAAAAAAAACAAAAUGUCGGCUGAUGGAAAUACUAUCGAGCUUCGGAGGUGGAUGUAUACGCACAGAGCUUCGGAGGUGGAGACAUUUAUGCAUCAAGCAGAUUCUACUCCGCUCGCUCAGGAAAGCAGUAAGAUGUUAUGUCCUUGUCGGAAAUGCAACAAUUCAAAAUUGGCAACUCAUGAAAUGUAUGUAAGCGUUUAAUAAAUAGAGGUUUCACGCCACAUUACUAUAUUUAGUAGUAGUAAUAGCAAUUUUCAGGAUGAACCGGUUUAUCAUUUGCAUAAUGAACAUAGUUACCAUCAGGAGGAGCAAAUGGUAGAGUGUGAUAGGGAUCAUGAUAUGGUAGCUGAUGCAUUUGUAGCUCAUGAUGAAGUCAAAGAACCUAUUAUAGAUGCAAAAAAGUUUGAUGAAAUGUUAGAUGCUGCGAAUCAGCCAAUUACUGUGUUUGUAGAGAAGGUCUCUCUAAAUUAUCGUUGGCUACUAGAAUGAUGAAUAUUAAAACUGAUCACAAUCUACGUGAAAGUUGCAUGGAUGCAUGAGCAGACUUGUUUAAAGAGUAUUUGCCAGAAACAAUGUGUCUGUUGAUUCUUAUUAUGAGAUUCAGAAACUGGUUUAUAGUCUUAGGUUGCCUUUGGAGAUGAUAGACGUUUGCAUCGACAAUUGCAUGAUCUACUGGGAGAUGAUGAGAAGUUAGAAGAAUGUCGAUUAUGCAAGCCACGAUUCAAACCACAAGGACGAGGACAUAAUAGGGUACCGUAUCAAAGGAUGUGGUACCUACCAAUUACAUACAUAUUGAAAAGAUUGUACCAAUCUGAGCAGACUGCCGGGGGGAUGAGAUGGCAUGCCGAGCAUACUCCGACGGAUGGUGAGAUGACUCAUCCAUCAGAUGCAAGAGCUUGGAAACAUUUUAACAAAGUACAUCCAGAAUUCGCUAGCAAUAGCCGAAAUGUAUAUCUUGGAUUAUGCACAAAUGGAUUUAGUCCAUUUGGAAUGUCAGGGAGACAAUAUUCAUUAUGGCCAGUCUUUCUUCCGCCAUACAACCUGCCACCGGAGACAAUAUUCAACGGGAGUUUCUAUUCUUAACAAUUUUAAUACCUGGUCCAAAAUAUCCAAAAAGGUCUCUGGAUGUUUUCUACAACCACUGAUAAAAUAGUUGAAAGAUUUGUGGUCAAUAGGGGUGAGGACAUAGGAUUGCUCAACGAAGACGAAUUUUACGAUGCAAGCGAUGCUUUUGUGGACCAUAAUUGACUUUCCUGCCUAUAUGAUGUUUUCUGAAUGGACUGCACAUGGCAGACUAUCUUGUUCAUAUUGUAAUGGAAUGACAGAUGUGUUUCAACUGAAGAAUGAUAGGAAGACAAGUUGGUUCAAUUGUCACCAUCGAUCUCUUCCCAUUAGCCAUCUGUACCGAAGAAACAAGAAAUUGUAUAGGCAUAAAAGCGUUGUGAGAGACACUCUUCCUCCAUAUUUAAAUGGAGAAGAAAAUGAAGCGCAAAUCGAUUGCUACGGAGCUCAAGAAACCGUUCGCUGUGGUGGAAAUUGGCAUGUUCCCGGUAAUAUUGCCUGAUUUUUACGGAGUUCAGCACAACUGGCACAAGAAGAGUAUAUUUUGGGAGUUGCUAUAUUGGAAGAAUCUUCUUUUGCGCCGCAACCUCAAUGUGAUGCAUAUAGAGAAGAAUUUUUUUUUGAGAACAUCGUGAAUACAAUACUGAAUGUCCCAGGGAAGACAAAAGACAUCAUGAAAUCGAGAUUGGACUUGCCUGAUAUUUUUUCAAGAAGCGAGUUACAUAUAAAAAGCAAUGGACAAGUUUCCGUUCCGAUAUUCAGAUUGUCUUCCAAACAAAAGUCGUUGUUGUUCAACUGGAAAUAGCAUCUCUUUUUGAAGAGAGCCACAUCUGUCUUCCAGAACAUGCCACUUCCUUCACACUCACAAGACUGGCACCAGAACUCUACACCAAAGAUGAAAUCGAUGAGAUGGUGUUUGGUAAUUGUGGAGCUCAGGAGAAACUGGGAGAGGAGCUCAAAACAUUGGUAGAAGAUACACAUCAGCCUUUGGAUAGAGGCUACAAUGAGCUUUUCAGAAGUAUGGCAGAAAUGAGGACAUAAAUUGAGAGUUUACGUCAACAGCUUGAGAAGGAAGCUACGACCUCAGCAUCGAUCGACGCAACACAUGCAACAUCGAUCGACGUCAGUCUUCCUACAGCCCAGAUCCCUGCAGAACCGCAAUGUUCAACACAACACAAGGAUGAAUGGGAAGUCUCUUACAUGGUCACGAGGAUAAAAGACGUUUACUACCCUCUCAACAACAACGUGGAUUGGCUAAGCACUAAAAUCGAGCUACUACAGCAAGAUCUGGACACCAUUCGCAAGAAGGACCAACAACCAGCCACAUCGAUCGCCAUGUGUACCUUCACAACGCUCGACGCUAAAGUCUCAGCCAUGAAUGAGAGGCUGAGGACUUACGAGGACAUGCAUGACCGCUUUAUAUCACCAGUCAUGAUAUAUUUAAACAAAUUGUCUAGUCAAUUACUUCAUGCCCAAAUGGAUAUUGAGAACAUUACUAAUCAAAGUUUUUUGCAAUCAAAAUCAGCAUCGAUCGACAGGCUACGAGGGCCUUGGAUCGAUGGCAAGAAACCUGUGGAGUUACUUCCAUACACAGCAGCAGAGGUUGACAAGAUCACAUCCAAGAUCUACACUGCUCUAGAUACCAUGGAGGAACGACUUGACAAACGCUGCGAUGACAUCUACUUUCCAUUCGACAACAAAAUCAGUAGACUAGACAGCCACGCAGAAUGGCUACAGAAAGAAGUCAAAGCCAUUCAGAGGCAACUCGCAGCCCAACACCCGAUAUCAGCAUCGAUCGACAGGACACGAGCAAAAUAGAUCGAUGGCAACUCGCCGAGAUAGACCAAUGAACACAUAAUCGCAUCGAUCGACGAGGUCAGUGAGAAGCUGAUACACAAGACGAUAGAGUCAAUGCAAAAGGAACUGACAGAUCUUUCAGCAAACGCCUAUGACAACAUAGGCUGGCACCAGAUCAGCAUUGAAAACGUUCAAGAAAGGCUACAGAACAUCUCCAAUGUACUUGAGAAGAUGGAUGACAAAUGGACAAGAAAUGAUGAGGCCACAAGAAGUUUCAUUGCAUCUUGGUCCAGAAUGUGCAGAGAUGACGUGGAUGCUUGCUUUCCAACAAGCAUCUGUUUCUCCACCCAAUAGCCAAUCACUACCACAGUCAAGCUAAAUGACUAUAACCAAGCGCUGAGUGGGAGGCAACCCACUAUUAGGUAUUUUACUUUGGUUUUAUUAGCUUGCAUUUAAUUACUUUCGUUUUAUUUCUUUCAGAUUUAGGAGACCCAAGUAGGAGGACCUGAAUAUCGACCGACGACGAGACGUCGACAUCGUUCGACAGAGACAACCACAUGACGAUCAAUAUAACACUUACACAUCGAUCAAUAUCUACUCCGGUCAGAUGUAUCUUCCUUACUUGUUACAUUUCGUACAUCAUAAACUAUCCACCAUAACUUCGGCUGAGUUACACUGGGACAGUGUAAUUUAAGUCUGGAGGAGAUUUACGAAUAUAAUUUAUUUUAUUCUUAUAUGAAAAGGAAUUUUAAUAAAUUAUGCUUAGUUAUUGAAAAUAAGGACUAUAAUCUUAUAUUGAUUUAAACUUGAAUAUCUAACCAAUCUUUAGCACUAUUUUAGAUUUACUGAUUGCAGAUAGCACUAAAGAUGCUAAAGGGGAUCAACCUAUCAACUACACACUUGCCUUGAACCGUAUGAAGUAACCAAAGCUGAUUUCCAACACUAAACCUGACAUAACCGCUUGUCUUGGGGCUUGGUAUACAUGGGAUCAGAUUCUUUAGACAGGUCUGGAAGGUAACGCCUGGUGUAGAUUAUUUACCAUAUUUUUUCUCUCUAAAUUUCGACCCUAGAUUAGUUAGUAAGUUAAAAAAAAUAAAAAAAAAAUAAAAAAAUAAAAAAUAAGAUCUAUUGUUUAAUUAUGAUGAGUCUGAACAGGACUUGGUGGCUAAAACCAUUAAGGCUUGAUUCAUAAAGACUCAAAUAAAAGAGUUCGAAACGGGACUUGGAGGUGGCAAUCUUCAAGGCUCGCUUUCGCAAAGAACUCUUGGAUAUAUGUCAAAAAGAAGUGAACAGAACUUGGUGGCAACCACCAUUAAGUUUUGAUUCAUGGAAGCCUGUCCAAUCUUGGUAACUGAUCCUGCAGUGGAAGCAGACUUUGACUCAAGAGAGAAAAUUAGAGAGAGAGAAACUAGGAACUAACUUUUACCUGCAGCUCCAGAUACCUGUCUGAAAUCCUUGCAUCCUGUGAUCGAUACUCCCAAGGUAAAGCAUUCACUUUAUAUUUAUGCUAAGAAAUGAAAUCAGUAGAGGGGAUGUCAGAC